AUAUUGGACAAUGGGCGCAAGCCUGAUGCAGCCAUGCCGCGUGUGUGAAGAAGGCCUUCGGGUUGUAAAGCACUUUCAGCGGGGAGGAAGGCCUGUAGGUUAAUACCCUGNUGGAUUGACGUUACCCACAGAAUAAGCACCGGCUAACUCCGUGCCAGCAGCCGCGGUAAUACGGAGGGUGCAAGCGUUAAUCGGAAUUACUGGGCGUAAAGCGCGCGCAGGUGGUUGGUUAAGUCGGAUGUGAAAUCCCCGGGCUCAACCUGGGAACUGCAUUCGAAACUGGCAAGCUAGAGUCUGGUAGAGGGGGGUGGAAUUCCAGGUGUAGCGGUGAAAAUGCGUAGAGAUCGGGAGGAACACCNGUGGCGAAGGCGGCCCCCUGGACAAAGACUGACACUCAGGUGCGAAAGCGUGGGGAGCAGACACA
RNAcentral lists this ribosomal RNA (424 nucleotides) under gamma proteobacterium SCGC AAA023-G17. RNAcentral describes it as "bacterial SSU rRNA". It matches the Rfam family "Bacterial small subunit ribosomal RNA", at positions 361 to 776 of the family's 1533-position model. The record is from RNAcentral. Lineage: Bacteria; Pseudomonadati; Pseudomonadota; Gammaproteobacteria.